CUGGCUCAGGACGAACGCUGGCGGCGUGCUUAACACAUGCAAGUCGAGCGAUGAAGCUCUUCGGAAGUGGAUUAGCGGCGGACGGGUGAGUAACACGUGGGUAACCUGCCUCAUAGAGGGGAAUAGCCUUUCGAAAGGAAGAUUAAUACCGCAUAAGAUUGUAGUACCGCAUGGUACAGCAAUUAAAGGAGUAAUCCGCUAUGAAGAUGGACCCGCGUCGCAUUAGCUAGUUGGUGAGGUAACGGCUCACCAAGGCGACGAUGCGUAGCCGACCUGAGAGGGUGAUCGGCCACAUUGGGACUGAGACACGGCCCAGACUCCUACGGGAGGCAGCAGUGGGGAAUAUUGCACAAUGGGGGAAACCCUGAUGCCAGCAACGCCGCGUGAGUGAUGACGGCCUUCGGGUUGUAAAACUCUGUCUUUGGGGACGAUAAUGACGGUACCCAAGGAGGAAGCCACGGCUAACUACGUGCCAGCAGCAGC
This 483-nucleotide ribosomal RNA is filed under the name uncultured bacterium. Its description in RNAcentral is "bacterial SSU rRNA". It matches the Rfam family "Bacterial small subunit ribosomal RNA", at positions 19 to 518 of the family's 1533-position model. The record is from RNAcentral.